Molecule: transfer RNA, 65 nt
Filed under: Prismognathus prossi
Lineage: Eukaryota; Metazoa; Arthropoda; Insecta; Coleoptera; Lucanidae
Description: tRNA-Leu
Source: RNAcentral
UCUAAUGUGGCAGAAUAGUGUAGUGGACUUAAACCCCACAUAUAAAGUAUAUACUUUUUUUAGAA